CAGCCGCCACGGUAAUACGGAGGGGGCUAGCGUUGUUCGGAAUUACUGGGCGUAAAGCGUACGUAGGCGGCUUUGUAAGUUAGAGGUGAAAGCCCGGAGCUCAACUCCGGAAUUGCCUUUAAGACUGCAUCGCUUGAAUCGUGUAGAGGUGAGUGGAAUUCCGAGUGUAGAGGUGAAAUUCGUAGAUAUUCGGAAGAACACCAGUGGCGAAGGCGGCUCACUGGACGCGUAUUGACGCUGAGGUACGAAAGCGUGGGGAGCAAACAGUAUUAGAUACCCGCGUAGUCCCUGUCUCUUAUAC
RNAcentral lists this ribosomal RNA (301 nucleotides) under uncultured bacterium. RNAcentral describes it as "partial 16S ribosomal RNA". It matches the Rfam family "Bacterial small subunit ribosomal RNA", at positions 509 to 807 of the family's 1533-position model. The record is from RNAcentral.